RNAcentral lists this ribosomal RNA (498 nucleotides) under uncultured bacterium. RNAcentral's name for it is "partial 16S ribosomal RNA". It matches the Rfam family "Bacterial small subunit ribosomal RNA", at positions 30 to 523 of the family's 1533-position model. The record is from RNAcentral.
AUUGAACGCUGGCGGCAUGCCUUACACAUGCAAGUCGAACGGUUACAGGUCUUCGGAUGCUGACGAGUGGCGAACGGGUGAGUAAUACAUCGGAACGUGCCUAGUAGUGGGGGAUAACUACUCGAAAGAGUGGCUAAUACCGCAUGAGAUCUACGGAUGAAAGCAGGGGAUCGCAAGACCUUGUGCUACUAGAGCGGCCGAUGGCAGAUUAGGUAGUUGGUGGGAUAAAAGCUUACCAAGCCGACGAUCUGUAGCUGGUCUGAGAGGACGAUCAGCCACACUGGGACUGAGACACGGCCCAGACUCCUACGGGAGGCAGCAGUGGGGAAUUUUGGACAAUGGGCGCAAGCCUGAUCCAGCAAUGCCGCGUGCAGGAUGAAGGCCUUCGGGUUGUAAACUGCUUUUGUACGGAACGAAAAGCCCUGGGUUAAUGCCCUGGGGUCAUGACGGUACCGUAAGAAUAAGCACCGGCUAACUACGUGCCAGCCGCCGCAGUAA